Long non-coding RNA from Ruditapes philippinarum (Manila clam), 955 nucleotides. RefSeq lists it as uncharacterized. The transcript is spliced from 3 exons. NCBI's taxonomy places the organism in Eukaryota, Metazoa, Mollusca, Bivalvia, Venerida, Veneridae. The record is from RefSeq and is a predicted model, not a curated record.
UCCAUUAUACAAAUUAAGCCGGUAUUGGAUCGCUAUUGAAUUUCAGACGCUAUAAUCGAUAUUGCUUCAAAAAUCAUUCUCAGUGAAUUCUGAUUUAUUUUUGGUAUUGUAUUGAAGGUUUUCCAACACAGACUUGAUGGUUCUGUUAAUUUCCAAAGAAACUUUUCAGAGUAUGAAAACGGAUUUGGGGACAUCAAUGGCGAAUUCUGGCUCGGACUUAAAUUCGUUCAAAAACUGACAGAAAUGCCGAGUGAAUUAAAAUAUGAAAUUACGUUUUCAAAUGAUGGUGAACAGCCAUGGAACGAACGAUUCAGUCGGUUUCAACUCGUUGGCCCUCGGUACGUGCUCUCCAUAGACGAUCGCCUCUACAGUGCAGGUAACAAUUAUGGGGAAACGUUCGCGACCUUCAAUGAAUCUCCAUUUGUAGCACUUGCUGAGGAUCCUUCAACGUCUUGUCUUAGUGGCGACCAAAUGUGGUGGUCGUUUACCGCUCAAACGUGUGACUACGUCCUUAACCUAAACAUUGUGUACGGGACGAAGACAAAAAUAAGGUGGGCGCCUGAAUCAGACAGCUAUAGAAUUCUAAAGGCUUCAACAAUGAUGAUCAGAAGAAUAUGAAAAUUAUUCCGAACAGGAAAAUAAACAUAGUGGCUCCAUAUUCACAAAAGGAUGUCUGGAUCAGGUUAAAUGAUUUUCAACCAAACUGAGCCUGCAAUAUUUUUAAUUUUGUCAUUUUGAACAUUCUUUGAGAUUCAUUUUUUUCUAAACUAAAAUUGAUAGCAUUUGACUAGAAUCAAAUUUACGCAUACACAAUAUAUAAAAAUGCUCAUUUGCGAAGAAACAACUUUAUUUUGGAAAACUUUAUUAAUUUUUGGAAUUAAAAUUGAGUAAUUACAAUACUAAUAAUAUUUGUCAUAUAAUACAAAUCGGAUCGAAAUAUUUGUCCCGAGGUAAA